RNAcentral lists this ribosomal RNA (497 nucleotides) under uncultured bacterium. Its description in RNAcentral is "partial 16S ribosomal RNA". It matches the Rfam family "Bacterial small subunit ribosomal RNA", at positions 28 to 507 of the family's 1533-position model. The record is from RNAcentral.
GAUGAACGCUGGCGGCGUGCCUAAUACAUGCAAGUCGAGCGAACGGACGAGAAGCUUGCUUUUCUGAUGUUAGCGGCGGACGGGUGAGUAACACGUGGAUAACCUACCUAUAAGACUGGGAUAACUUCGGGAAACCGGAGCUAAUACCGGAUAAUAUUUUGAACCGCAUGGUUCAAAAGUGAAAGACGGUCUUGCUGUCACUUAUAGAUGGAUCCGCGCUGCAUUAGCUAGUUGGUAAGGUAACGGCUUACCAAGGCAACGAUGCAUAGCCGACCUGAGAGGGUGAUCGGCCACACUGGAACUGAGACACGGUCCAGACUCCUACGGGAGGCAGCAGUAGGGAAUCUUCCGCAAUGGGCGAAAGCCUGACGGAGCAACGCCGCGUGAGUGAUGAAGGUCUUCGGAUCGUAAAACUCUGUUAUUAGGGAACAACAUAUGUGUAAGUAACUGUGCACAUCUUGACGGUACCUAAUCAGAAAGCCACGGCUAACUACGUG